CCCCAAUUAUUCAAUUUUUGAUGAAAUCACACAAAGUUCAAUUUUGGACCCUUUGGGCCCCUUAUUCCUAAAUUGUUGGGACCAAAACUCCCAAAAUCAAACCCAACCUUCCUUUUAUGGUCAUAAACCUUGUGUUUAAAUUUCAUAGAUUUCUAUUUACUUAUACUAAAGUUAUGGUGCAAAAACCAAAAACAAUGCUUAUUUGGGCCCCUUUUUGGCCCCUAAUUCAUAAACUGUUGUGACCUCAACUCCAAAAAUCAAUCCCAAUCUUUCUUUUGUGGUCAUUAACCUUGUGUUAAAAUUUCAUUGAUUUCUAUUUACUUAUACUAAAGUUAUUGUUCGAAAACCAAGAAUAAUGCUUAUUUGGGCCCUUUUUUGGCCCUUAAUUCCUAAACUGUUGGAACCAAAACUCCCAAAAUCAAUCCCAACCUUCCUUUUGUGGUCAUAAACCUUGUGUUAAAAUUUCAUUGAUUUCUAUUCACUUUUACUAAAGUUAGAGUGCGAAAACUAAAAGUAUUCGGACGACGACGACGACGACGACGACGCAGACGACGACGCCAACGUGAUAGCAAUAUACGACCAAAAAAUUAAAAUUUUUGCGGUCGUAUAAAAAUACAU
RNAcentral lists this long non-coding RNA (618 nucleotides) under Mytilus galloprovincialis (Mediterranean mussel). Lineage: Eukaryota; Metazoa; Mollusca; Bivalvia; Mytilida; Mytilidae. The record is from RNAcentral.